RNAcentral lists this long non-coding RNA (934 nucleotides) under Pan troglodytes (chimpanzee). RNAcentral describes it as "lincRNA". The record is from RNAcentral. Lineage: Eukaryota; Metazoa; Chordata; Mammalia; Primates; Hominidae.
ACCUCCCAGAGGCCGCCACUUUCUUCAGGGCUAUCAGAUGAAGGCAGCAACGAAAACACCACAAGACCAACUUCAGGCUGGAGCUGAUGAUGCCACACAGCAAAUCAGCGAGAAAAAAGAAAAUAGACUCUACUUAGAAAUGAAACUCAACUAAAGGUAAAAGAUGUCAGGAACAUCUCCAAGAAAGCCAGAGUCAGCCUCUAAACUUUGCAUCAAGAACGCAAUGGCUUCCCUGAGGGCCCAGGGACGCUUGGCAGCUGUGAGGCAGCCCCUUCUCUGCUGUCGAGGAACUGGACACUUCUCCUAUCCCUUCCCACAAGGGGCUUCCUGGAGCUCCUGCAACCCCAGGCAUUAGUUCCAGUGCAGUUCUAGGAUCAGAUCAAUUCACUCGACAACAAGAGAAACAAAUGGAGAUUCCUACACAAAGACUUUCAAGCACAAAGAAAUCCUGCUGCCUGUAAAGUGGAGCUGCCUCAGCUCUUGAUGAACGACAGAAAAUCUCACAUUCCAGGAAUUCAGAUGAAGUGAAGUGCUCUCAUGGGGACCAGGCAUGGUUAUUCCAGUCCACUGCCCUGCAAGCCUCAAGGGAAGCCAACUGCCCUUCAGCAAGUCACACCUGCCUUGGUGGAGGCCUUGAUUGGAAGUGCCACACGCUACAUGUCCAGUCCUGAGCGGGAGAAUCGGUGUAGGGACGUUGUGGGGAUGCCGGCUGUGGCCAGAUCAGGUCCAGCUACAGAAGAAUGAAGACUCCACCUGAGGGCUGGAAAAACAAAACCUCAAGUGUGAGGCAGCCAACCUGUUACCUCGAGGGACUGUCCCGCAGCACAGCGGGGCCAUGGGAACAGCAGCAGACACCCCGGCCUCCUCGCUACCUGUGUGUGUAUUAACGCCCCGGCCCCCUCACUACCUGUGUGUGUAUUAACGCCCCGGCCCC